This 936-nucleotide long non-coding RNA is filed under the name Sinocyclocheilus grahami. RNAcentral describes it as "lncRNA (ENSSGRG00000028528.1)". The record is from RNAcentral. Lineage: Eukaryota; Metazoa; Chordata; Actinopteri; Cypriniformes; Cyprinidae.
UUCUGCCACCUUGAGGUCAUAAUAAUAAUAUUGCAACUACAUUUCGGUUGAGACGUAUUAACUGUGCGCACAGUAGAGACUUUGAAGACGGUGUGCUUUUAGCACGGAAGACGGAGGGCUUUUGGAAAUAUUGAAAUGCCAUGUUUCUAUGCGUUUUGAGGUUUCUACCAUCGGAGCUGAAGACUGACACGUUAAAAAUGUGAUCUGACGGUAACCAGGCGACCGCUUUCUGCAUCAAUACCCAUAUUUCCGUACUAAUACCAACUAUCUCUCUCAAUGUUCGGGACGACUCGUGCUGAAAUCUCCUAACAUGAAGCAUCGCAUGGUAGAUUGAAUUGGUCGUAGAAUGGAGGUUCCUGCCGUAAACCACAGCUAUACACAUCCACAGCCAUGGGCCGGACAGAGUCCCAGGACCCCAACCAUACCUCCACCCAGCUGUCCAUUUCCUUCAUAUCACUAUCCAAACCUGAACCCAGAUCAGCAGAGUGUGACCCCCAUGACCCAAACGACAGGAACCGCAGCAGGCCAUCGGCCUCAGUCACUGCAAAGCUACCAAGGAGUGUUCAAGCCUGUUCCUGAGAUUACAAAUAAGACGAAUCAAGGAAUGCCACAGAGAAGCUACUCAUUACCAACGAGUCCAGUGUCAAAUUCUAAGACAGAGUCUCGAUACGGCCUGGAUCCUCAGCUUCUGCCCAGUGUGGUCCAGGUGAUUAAAGAGGACAGGAUCCAGUGGGAGGGGAAAGUGUUUGUUUCAGAAUGCAAAUCUUCAGUUCCCCUUCUUCCUGGGCAGAGUUCUACAGGAAAUGUCACUUUUCAACCCUGAGUCGGAUGGAUCCGGCUCACAAGAGCUUUCUGUUUCUGCAGGGCUGAAGAUUCUUCAGGCAAGAGCCUUAAUAUGAGUCUUAAACAUGCACAUGCCCUUGGAUAGUGCUACUA